CCUACGGGGGGCAGCAGUGGGGAAUAUUGGACAAUGGGGGGAACCCUGAUCCAGCCAUGCCGCGUGUGUGAAGAAGGCCCUCGGGUUGUAAAGCACUUUCAGUGAGGAAGAACGCCUGGUGGUUAAUACCCAUCAGGAAGGACAUCACUCACAGAAGAAGCACCGGCUAACUCCGUGCCAGCAGCCGCGGUAAUACGGAGGGUGCGAGCGUUAAUCGGAAUUACUGGGCGUAAAGCGCGCGUAGGUGGCUUGAUAAGCCGGUUGUGAAAGCCCCGGGCUCAACCUGGGAACGGCAUCCGGAACUGUCAAGCUAGAGUGCAGGAGAGGAAGGUAGAAUUCCCGGUGUAGCGGUGAAAUGCGUAGAGAUCGGGAGGAAUACCAGUGGCGAAGGCGGCCUUCUGGACUGACACUGACACUGAGGUGCGAAAGCGUGGGUAGCAAACAGGAUUAGAUACCCUGGUAGUC
RNAcentral lists this ribosomal RNA (465 nucleotides) under Vreelandella stevensii. RNAcentral describes it as "partial 16S ribosomal RNA". It matches the Rfam family "Bacterial small subunit ribosomal RNA", at positions 338 to 795 of the family's 1533-position model. Lineage: Bacteria; Pseudomonadati; Pseudomonadota; Gammaproteobacteria; Oceanospirillales; Halomonadaceae. The record is from RNAcentral.